CUGACAGUGCCUCAUGCCCAGCCCAGAGCCCAACGUGGAGCUUGAACUUACAGGCUGUGAGGUCAUGACCUGAGCUGAAAUCAAGAGUUGGAUGCUUAAUCGACUGAGCCACCCAAGUGCCCCAAUAACUCCAAGUUCUAGUUCCUGAGUAAAUUAGCCCAUCCCCCAACCUAACUACCCAUCUCUCAUCACUGAAUUAUCAGCUUUUUGGAGAUGGUGAAAGAAGCUGAUGCUGCUUUUUGGGGGGAUGUAAUCACUUGGUUCAAAAACAUCUUCAGGGAAAAGUUUUGAGAACCGUAUAGAUGAAUAGAUUUCAGUACCAAUGGUAUACUGAGGAUACAAAGGUGAGAGAGCCAUUUUCUCUACAGGAAGUGCCCAGAAGAGGAGAGGUCAGAAGGUAGGGCAGGUCACAGUGCUGGCUCCAAGUUAUCAAAGUCAGAUGCCUCAUAUGAGUCUUUACAGUGAUAGGUCACUUCUCUCUUUUCUUUUUUUAAAUAGCCCCCCACGUUGUCAUCAUUUGUUUUCUUUUUUAACUUUUUAGCUUUGAACAAACAAGAAGAGUUCUGUCAACAUCUAGUGUUUGUCCAGCUGUGAUGUAUGCGCCAUACCUGAAUCAGGAAUCCAGAAUGCUAGGAGAAUUCUAUUUCUGGAGCAACAAGUAGACAGUAGUUCAUUGUGCCCUGAUUUGAGCCAUGUCGUCUUUAUUGUCCAUGUGAAUCCUGGUACCUUUCUGGUCAGACUCAAAAUUACAUAAAUUUAAGAAAAUAGUUUGUGUACAGCCUCUUUGCUCAAUUUCCAGUCCCUGCAGCAUCCAUUAGAUACUACCAGACUGUCUCUUAUAACCCCUGCACUGUUUCGUGGGAGGAAGAGAAGGCGUAGCCUAGACAGUCUGAGGCAGUCGAUUAUACAGUAAUGAGAAGUGCACUGUUCACACGCCCUUUGCUCUGUCCCUACCCUCCGUUUUACUGCUUUCUUUGGGGGAACUCGACAGGCCGAGAUGCAAUGCAUCAUUCCCCCUCUUUUUUUUUUUUUUUUUUUUUUUAAACCCCUGGUCAUGUUGCACUUCGGGAGUUGUUUCUGAAUGAAUAUAGAAAGACUGGUGUUGAAAUAGGAGCUGAAGACCCCUCUGUCUCCCUGAGAAAGCCGUCUCCACGCACUAGGGCACCGGCUGCCCAGGUUUUGAGUCCAUCUGUGUCCCGUGCUGCCACUUUUUGUAGGUCACAGGGAUGGACCAUCCCUGUGCUGUUUGGUUUCCAAAGUUAAAGCAUGAGUUUGUCACGACUUGUGACUCUCCUUCCAGCCAAUUCUCUUCUACACUUUCUGGAAGCUUUCCUUGGGAUCUGGUGAAAUAGCUAGAUUCUUAUUGUUUUCACUAUUUUAAAUUUUGGCCAUGUGUUUCAUCAAGUUUUGUUUUUAUCCAGAAUUUUGUAAAAUGAAAACAGUGUGCAUUUGUAAAUAUUGAAGCAACAAAGUAUAUGAAGUUGGACUAAUGCUGACUCUUAACUAGUACCCCAAAGCAAACUACUUUUAACUAUGUGGUAUAUGCUUUUCAAGACUGUUUUCCCUAAGAAUGUGUAAAUAUGUGUAUAUAUACGUUUUAAAAAUAACAUCAUGUUACAAAUAUAUUUCUGCAACUUGUUUUUGUCACUUUUAUAGAGUUUUUUUAUGUCAGUACACAUAGGAGAAACUUGUUUUUAAUUAUUCAGGAUAAGUAACUUUUUAGUGGGAAUUCUCUGAUUAUUUGACCUAUUUUUGUCGUGGUUUUGGGUCUGUUUAUGUGUUUCUAUUAUUGUGACAGUUUUGGAAUUUUAUAUUUUUAUUGUUACCUAUUUUGUUGACUUUGUUGCCUUAUACUUAUUCAUAAUAAUAUUUUGUUAUUAUUUUAGUCUGUGUUUUUGUUUUUUGGGUUUUUUUGGUGUUAUUUUCCUUUUAAAUAAAUCUGAAGCCCCUGGGACCUGGUUUCACUGUAUCCACUGGCGGUUCUUAGGUGAUCAGAAUUUUGAAGUCCUACCCAACUUCUAGUACAGAUUAGGACUCUGCCAUGACAGAAUUGUCUUGAAAUAUGCUUUAAAAGACUCAUUGUAAUAUAUAUACAUACAUAUAUAUAUAUAUAUAUGUAUAUAUAUAUAUACACACACACAAACACACAUACAUAUAUGUUUAUGUAUACAUAAUAUAUAUGUUUGUUUAUGUAUGUGUAUAUAUACACAUCUAUGUUAAUGUAAGAAAGGAGAAUGCCUCCUGUAAUGCUUUUCAUUAUGAGAAAGGUGCUAUGAUGGCUAUGAUGAGUCACCCUAAAGUUGUAAAGCAUCAUUUUAGAGGAAAUAAAGAUCUCUCUUCCUGUGCUUGCCCUUCAGGAUCUCUGGAUGGUGUCAAAAAGCCUUCUACCCACUCCAGGAAAAAGAACUAGUCAGCUAGUAAAAUCUGGGCCUAGUGAUAUUCCUUCUCUUCCCUCUGAUACUUGGAAAUAGUAUCAGAACUCACUAAACAGGAAGUCACCAGUGUGUUCAGACAUUGUAUUACCUGCCUGAUGCUGAAAGCCUUUGAGCUGAAGUACCUUGAUAUGGAAUCUGGACCAGUCAGUGCUUCUUGACCUUGGCUUCAUAUUAUAAUCAUCUGGGGAAAGAGCUCUCAAAGCAUCAGAUCCUGGGAUGUCCCCCUCAGCUGUUGUUUAAGACUGCAUGGAUUCAAUCUCUGGCUGCACUUCUCACUGGCUUUUUGACCUUAGGCAAGUUGGUUACCUUCUCUUGGAAACUGUGAGUAGUAAUAGUGCUCCCUUCAGAAGAUCAUGGAGGGGCCCCCGGUAAAUGAUAUCAAAUUAUAUAUGUAAAACACUUAGAAUCUGGCACGUAGGAAACCCUCAUAAAGCAUUAGAUAGUAUUACUAAGUUUUGGUGACAAAAACUGAUCAUCUUUAUUGCUAUUCUCUUACAAAGAAGAUUUGAGAUUUAUUCUAUUCUACUUUGCUGAUUCCUUAACUUCCAAGCAAACCCAGCUGCAGUGGUGACAAAGGGAAACAGCUACAUCCUCGGGUUAUUUCAGGCCCAAUCUAGUGAAGCUGCUACCUAUAUGGGAACGGAAUGGAGUGAAUGGCAGUGGACCAACUGACCAAAGAAUCCUCUCCUGAGAUGGUCAUUUUGGAUAGUUUUAUUUUUUCAAAUCCCAUUUUCUCAAAUAUCUCAUUCUUAUUGGGAGAAAUAAGAGAAAUAAAAUAAAUUCAAGAGAAAUAUCCAUCAUUAUGUACCAGUAGGGCUGAUACUUAUUUUAAAAUAGGGGCUAGCUUGACUGAGUAACAAGGGGAGGAAUCUGAAAAUAGCACAGUGUGCAAGCGCUAAAAAAGAAUGAAAAUAUUCUUGUUCCGUUGAAAAAACACAGCUCUGAAACAAUGGUAGAGAUGGAAGAAAAUGUCAUGGGGAAAUUUCACGCGGAAAUUAUUGGUCAGUAUAGUCUGUUUAUAAAAGUCUCUUCGGUUUCUUUGAGUCAGUUAAAACUAAAAUACAAGUAAAGCUAUGGAUUUCCCAGUGUUUUUGUCACUCAGAAGUGGUUAUAUUUAGUGCCAUUGACUAGGUAUUAGUUGUUUUUCGGAAAGUCAUCAGGAAAGUUUUUAGUUAAUAUUUGGUAAGAUCUAAUUUUGGAAUGGGCUUCUAUGACUCCAUGUACCUGUCUCUUCUUGUAACAGAAAGUUAAACAAAGAAUAAUGAUGUAGUACACUACAAGUGUUGAGUCCCUAUGGUUUUAGUUAAAUCUAAAUGCAAAUCAAAAUGCAUUUUUUAUGCCAGGAUAUUUGGUGAGCUACUUUAAUGCUUAUUUUAUGGUUCCACAGACCAUAACUGACACCUAUUUGAAAGCACUCAAUUUCCAGUAUUGAAUGUGCAAAAUUGCUUUCUACUCUAAGAUCACAAAAAGGGCAUGUGACGCAUACCAUAAUUUAUCUGCCUCAGAAAAUAAGAUUUGGUUCUUAUAAAGAGGACACAUGUUAGGUACUUAAAAUUUACUGAAACCUGGCUUGCAUGUAUUCCUUAGGCUUGAUGAUACAACAUUUGGUUAUCCUAAGGUAGUAAGACAAUUCUUUCAGACAAGACUACACCCGCAAGAUCAUGGCAGAGGAGGUCAAACCACAUGGCAUUAUCCAGUUUCCUCCCUUUAAUUAUAAAGGAAGCCAACUCUGCAGACAUUCAGAACCUGAUAUGUACCUCUGGGUCUGAUUUAAUACAACUAGUGCUAAUCACUGAAUUCAUCUAAUCCUAAGCAAAAGUAAGAAAUCAGCACAGAUUUCUCAUGGGUGAUUGUAUAAUUUUUAAAGCUUUUUGUAAUGUUGAAAAUAGUUUAAGACCCUUACGUUCUACCUAUUACUUUUCUAAUGCCCUCCAAUAGUUCACAAAUUCAGACUGUAAACCAGUCAACCAGAUGAUGCUUAAAAUAAUUUCUUUCCUCUUCCAAAGUGAGAAUUUCUCUUUGGCAUCUGAAAGAUCUUUCUUGGAAAACUUUAAGUCAUCCACAGUCAUUUCAGUAUUUUAAGGAAGAGGCAAAUCAAUUACUUAGCUCCUCCUUCAUCUGAAUGGAGUUGUUUCUAUUGUUUUUGUUUUGUUUUUACUCUUGAUUUUAAUCUGUAGUGGGUGGGUCAAACACUAGUGUUCUGGCAAACCAAAAUGUAAUCAUUAAUAUUGUUUAAGUUCCCUGGCAGUUCAUUUAGGAAGUAGGUGAUAUUUUAAAUGGAAAAUUACAGACUUAAAGAAAUAAUAGUGUACAUUCGAAUGACCCUUACAAUUUACAGUGCGCUUACACAGAGUCCAGAUUGGUGGUAUUGAUCUGCUCCAGAUUCUCCUGUGUACCUCCCCCAACCUUGGAGCAAUGAUUAAUUUGAUUUUCUUCGUUUGUAGAAAGAAUUUGCAAAUACAAUUCUAGGUAUGUGGAAUGUGGUUUGAGUUAAGUGGAUAAAGAGAUGAAUAUGAUAUUACACUGUUUAUUUAGAGUCUACCUCUUCUAGUUUAGGGGAUUAUGAGGAAACCUUCAAAAGGUCCUUCCUCCAAUGAAGAUGAUAAAAACUAUUGUGCUCAUGUGUUCCCAUCUUUGUGUUAGAAAUUUUUUCUGAAGAUAUAUUAAAAAAGAAAAAAAAUAGCUUCUAAUGGUGUUAGGAGUUGAACUUUUUCUGUAAGGUUAUUUAGUGGCACAUAGUUAAAACUUUUAAAAAAUUGUCCUCUAUAUGCCAGUUUUUCCUCUUUUAUGAUCUGCAAAAAAUUGAGAAUGACUGUAAUGCCCAAAAAAUGUUUAAAAAAAAAAUGGAAACAACUAUAAUGUCCCCAGAAUGCUGAUUAGAUAAAUUACCAAUCACCUUAAAAAAAAAAAAAAAAAGAGUAUAAUGCAAACUUCAAAGAUCAUGUUUUAGAAUACUUAGAAAAUUCUUCUAUUUAUUGUUGCAUGAAAAAAGUAUAUCAACAGUUUGACCCCAGUUCAGUCUGUGUGUCUAUGUAUAUAUUCAAUGAUCAAAUUUCACUGAGCAUUUACCUUGUUCAGAGCUCUGUGAUGAGAACUGGGAUAGCAGCAGUAAAUAAGACCAUCCCUUCCCUCAAAAUCAUACGCAUGCCAAAUAGUACAGGCAGAACCAGUCAGAGUGCUAACGGUUUGGGAUUUUGGUGUCUAUUUCCUGUUUUAAACCUGACUUGACUUCUCCGAAUCCUAGCAGGAUCAUGUAUCAACUCAUAUUCAGACUACAGCAUAAACAUGUUUUUGUAACUUUAUUCACUUCAUGCACAGUCAAGGAAGACCCUAGCAGAAUAAAAGUUAUUUUCUUAAGCAGCUGAAGAAAAGCAAUCUCAGUGUAGCAUAGCAUUUAUGAUAGUCUCCACCACAUGUUGCUACUCUCUAAGAUAAAGAGUGAAACUAAUGCAAAGAGCACUCUGGUGUCUGGUAUUUGCAUUUUUCGACUAAGAGAGGCAUUAUUUUAAAACCUAGUCAAAUGUUUCUAGGGAGAAUUGAUAGAAAAAUAGAAGAACUCUAGAAUAUUACUAAUGCUUUGGCUAUCCAGAAUUUGUGUAAAAUCGCUAAUUUAGUAUCUAUCCAAUAAGUCAAAUACUGUGCAUGGUCUGUCACUUUUAAUUAUGCUAAAAAUCCCAAAUAGUUUAAGUAUCAAUUCAUAAUUUUCCUUAGAAAAACUCUUGAUUCCACUGGGCUUCUCAAUGUAUUGCAUAAUUCAAGGAAACAAUUGCUGCUUUUAAGUUAACAUUAUGUAAAAUAAGUCACAUAUUUUUCAUAAGCUUAACAUUAAGCAGAAUUUGUUAUUUCUUAUGUCCUUAGUGAUGAGAAGGUUAAUUUUGUUAGGACUUUAUGGAUGAAUAGAAGUUCAACUUAAUAUUAAAAGAUUUGACAGGAAUUUUUGCUGCCUUUUUAGUUGUGAACUCAAUGAUUAAAUUUUGCUCCCACCUUAAAAAAAAUCAUCAAAAUCACGCUACAGAGAUAAUCAAAAUCAACACUUACAUUUGUGACUUUAGAUCUUAGAAGUCUUCACUUACUGCUUAAAUGGCAGUAGGCCAUUUAAGCCUUCCUCACAAAAUUAUGAUAAUUGAUAUAUGUCAUUGCCUUCACAUUAGCAGUUUUGGAUUUGAUAGGCAGAAAACAAUCCAUUUGAUAGAUCUUUUCUGCAAUACUCAAAUGUUUGUUUCACUGAUUCUGAUCAGAUGUAUGUGGUUUGUAUACUUUGGAUUUGUUUAUUCCUCCAUAUGAAAUCUAUUUGAAAUUGCUUUCCAAAAGGAGAAGAGGAUGGAUUUGGGGCUUGUGAAUGCUAAACAGAAACUUUAAUUACACAUGUAACAGAGAUGUGCUUUCGACUUCAAGCUUUAAAAUACUGACUUUGUAUCAGUAUACAUAUCAGUAUACAUCAGAUGCAUAACAUUUGAGUCAUGAGUAUGAUGGAGAAUGUCAGAAUACUAAUCAGUUUUGCUGUAUAGCCACUAUCCAUAUAUCUCUUUAGAGAGCAACUCCUUUUGAUCCCAAAUAAAUCUGAGUAAAAGUAUCCUAAGUUCAAUGAGAUUAGUCUGGCAUUAAACCCAAACCAAAUUGUCCUUGCUCUUGCCCUGCCUUACCCUGAUAAAGCAAAUAGUCUAAAACAAGAGCAACAAAAAGAAAGAAAAUUAUCAAUUGGAAAGUCAUUAUUCAUCUAAAAUUUGAAAACCAGGCAUGAACUCAGAUAAGUUUAGGAACGUUUGAUUGCAUAGUUUUAGUCUCAAAAGUGAAUUUUACUGAGUAGUUUAUGUGGUCUCUUUUGUCCUUUCAUUUAACACAUAUGCAUGAAUAUCUGCUGUGUCAGAAUAAUAAUUCAUCAUCCACUAUGAUUAUCAAGAACAAAUUGAGCAACUCUCCUUGAGAUUCCAAAGAAGAGUGGAAAUCUCUACUAGGCCCAGAAUGUUCUUAUAACUGAGAAAAGUCAGCUGGACUGAAAUGUCUUAUUGGUUCUGGCAUUAACUUAGUGUGCGAUCUACCAUAAAUGACUCUGCUUCCUUGGGCUGCAUUUUUUUUUCCAGGUUCAGAUAUUUGUCAUCUUUUGAAGCAAUAUUAACUAUCUGUCUUCUGUAGUGAACUUUCGUAAGAAUUAAAGAAGAUGCUCCUGUGAA
This is a long non-coding RNA of Felis catus (domestic cat), 7606 nucleotides long. RefSeq lists it as uncharacterized. The transcript is spliced from 2 exons. NCBI's taxonomy places the organism in Eukaryota, Metazoa, Chordata, Mammalia, Carnivora, Felidae. The record is from RefSeq and is a predicted model, not a curated record.